UUUUAUCACUACUGGUUAACAGUGCUUCUGAGUGCCCACUCCUUUAUAUUCAGUGAGUGCUACUUGUGCCAGGUGGUACUCAUGUAAGGCCUCUUUAAGUCUUCAUGUCAACCUUUUGAGGACUAUGUUAUUCCUGUCUUAGAGAUGGGAACAUUGAGACUCAGAAGCAAUUUGCUCAGGAUGUUGCUACCACAAAGCUGUUGGGCAGAAGUCACCACAGCUGUAAGGCUCUGGGAGAGCCGGGUGAGGCGGCCAAGAUGUGCCAGUAAUACUGGGCCCCCCCCACCUCCAUCUGCCAUGCAGCACUUGAGCGCUUUUUGGAGCACAUGGCUAGUGAUACAAACUCAAGAGCUGGCUGGGGCCAAGGACCAGAACUUUUCUCCACGGGCCUAGUAUGACUGGCACACCUUGGGGUGCCUCCCCCAGAGCAAUCUCCUAGUCCUACCCCCUUAGGAGCAUGUCCAGAAGGGUAAAAAGCUGGGCAAGGAGCCACUGACUGACACCAGCUCCCCCCUCCCUUCUUCCAAACUUGGCCUCAGGAUUCUGAAUCAAGGCGCACGUGCCACUCUGCAGCCACCGCCCUCCCCAUGAUUGCUCGUCUGAUGAACGCUAGCUCCGUGCAAGGCACUGUGCCGGGCAUUGUAUACACGUGAUCUCAAUGAAAGCUCCCCCAAACCCUGAAGUAGAGACAUUAUCAUCUCCGUUUUAUCUAUGAGGACCUCAUGAGCGUAAGUCACUUGCUAAAGAACUCAGCAGACAUUCGACUAAUGAGACCGUCGGGCAUCCGGGAUUCCCCCGGGCGUCCUCCCAGCCCGGCAUUUUCCGAAUCACGUGCACGAACCCUCUUAACUUUCAGGAAAUCCUCACAGCCGUUCGGCGCUUCACGUGGAAAGGGGCCCAAGGGCCAAGAGGCGGCGCGGCCGCGGCUAGAGCCGGGUCUCCCGACCCCCGGUCUCCAAGGAAACUCCUCCCCAAACCCCUCCCCAACCCGGGGUCUCCCUCAGCCCGGGCCGCUCAGCACCGCCCCGGUCGCCGUGGCGGGAGGUGGCCCAGGCGGGCUCGGGGAAGGGGAGCCGGGACACCCACCUAAGUCCAUGGCGGCGACGCGGGCGCAAUGCGGCGAGGACUGCGCAGGCACCACGACACAAUGGGCGGCCCGGGGGCGGGGCCAAGGGCCGCGCCCCAGUCCCCGCCCACAGUCUCCGCUCCGGCUCCGCGCGGGCAGCGGCGGCGCCCUCCGCUCCGCGCGCACGCGCGGUCCUCACCUACCAGCCCGCGGCGUCCGGGCGCCAAACGCACAGCGCCCUCUGUCGACCCUCCAACAGACUUAGUCACCAGCCUCAAGUGUUUCUAGUUCUUCACCCUCCAGCUUCUAGGACCAGGUAUCAAGCCAGAGGGGCCGGA
Eptesicus fuscus (big brown bat) is the source of this 1404-nucleotide RNA transcript. It is a transcript of the gene named diazepam-binding inhibitor-like 5, with no coding region annotated. Lineage: Eukaryota; Metazoa; Chordata; Mammalia; Chiroptera; Vespertilionidae. The record is from RefSeq and is a predicted model, not a curated record. The transcript is spliced from 2 exons.